GACGAACGCUGGCGGCGUGCUUAACACAUGCAAGUCGAACGCUGAAGCCCUGCUUUUGUGGUGUGCUCAAGUGGCGCAAGGGUGUGUAUCACGUGUGUAUCCUGCCCUUGACUUUGGGAUAACUUCAGGGAACUGGGGCUAUUACCCGAUAUGAGCUCCUGCUGCAUGGUUGAGGUAGUAAAGUUUCGGCGGUUGUGCACGGACUCGAGGCUUAUCAGCUUGUUGGUGGGGUAGUGGCUUACCAAGGCUUUUACGGGUCGCCGGACUGAGAGGGUGACCGGGCACAGUGGGACAGGGAUACGAGCAAGAGGGCAUCGGGAGGAAGGAGUGGAGAAUAGAGCGAGAUGGGCGGAAGCAGGAAGCAGGAACGCCGCGUGCUAGAGGACGGCCGUCGGGUAGUAAAGAGCGUUCGCCUGGGACGAAGAGUGAGUGACGGUAAUGGGUAAAGAAGCAACGGCUAACUACGUG
This 468-nucleotide ribosomal RNA is filed under the name uncultured bacterium. RNAcentral describes it as "partial 16S ribosomal RNA". It matches the Rfam family "Bacterial small subunit ribosomal RNA", at positions 28 to 507 of the family's 1533-position model. The record is from RNAcentral.